UUGUCUCAAAGAUUAAGCCAUGCAUGUCUAAGUACAAGCCUCACUAAGGUGAAACCGCGAAUGGCUCAUUAAAUCACACCUAAUCUACUGGAUAGUCAACAGUUACUUGGGUAACUGCGGUAAUUCUGGAGCUAAUACAUGCACAAAGCCCCGAACGUAAGUGAGGGGUGCUUUUAUUAGAUCAAAACCAAACGGCUUCGGCUGUUCUCUUGGUGACUCUGAAUAACUUUGGGCUGAUGGCAUAGCCUUGCGCUGGCCACAUAUCCUUCGAAGGUGUGCCCUAUCAACUGUCGACUGUGGCAUAGACGCCCACAGUGGUUUUGACGGGUAACGGGGAAUCAGGGUUCGAUUCCGGAGAGGGAGCCUUAAAAACGGCUACCACAUCUAAGGAAGGCAGCAGGCACGCAAAUUACCCAAUGACCGAAGGUCGAGGUAGUGACGAAAAAUAACGAUACAGGACUCAUCCGAGGCCCUGUAAUCGGAAUGAGUACACUUUAAAACCGUCCCCGAGGACCCAUUGGAGGGCAAGUCUGGUGCCAGCAGCCGCGGUAAUUCCAGCUCCAAUAGCGUAUAUUAAAGUUGUUGUGGUUAAAAAGCUCGUAGUUGGAUCUCGGCGGUACAGCAGCCGGUUCACUUGCUAGUGUUACUGCUGCUUGGACCGUAGUUUUGCCAGAGGUCUCUGGGUGCUCUUAACCGAGUGUCCAGUGAUGCUGGCAGGUUUACUUUGAAAAAAUUAGAGUGCUCAAAGCAGGCUUUUACGCCUGAAUAUUCGUGCAUGGAAUAAUAGAAUAGGAAGUCGUUUCUAUUUUGUUGGUUUUCGGAAAUCGACUUAAUGAUUAAUAGGGACAGUCGGGGGCAUUUGUAUUCAAACGACAGAGGUGAAAUUCUUGGACCGUUUGAAGACAAACUACUGCGAAAGCAUUUGCCAAGAAUGUUUUCAUUAAUCAAGAACGAAAGUUAGAGGUUCGAAGGCGAUUAGAUACCGCCCUAGUUCUAACCAUAAACGAUGCCAGCUAGCGAUCUGCCGACGUUUUUUUUGUAGACUCGGCAGGAAGCUUCCGGGAAACCAAAGCAUUUGGGUUCCAGGGGAAGUAUGGUUGCAAAGCUGAAACUUAAAGGAAUUGACGGAAGGGCACCACCAGGAGUGGAGCCUGUGGCUUAAUUUGACUCAACACGGGAAAUCUCACCAGGCCCGGACACUGGAAGGAUUGACAGAUUGAUAGCUCUUUCUUGAUUCGGUGGGUGGUGGUGCAUGGCCGUUCUUAGUUGGUGGAGUGAUUUGUCUGGUUAAUUCCGAUAACGAACGAGACUCUGUCCUGCUAAAUAGUGUCGGCCUCUGUUUUGGGCAGACAAUUCUUCUUAGAGGGACUGGCAACUCUCAGUUGCACGAGAUUGAGCAAUAACAGGUCUGUGAUGCCCUUAGAUGUUCUGGGCCGCACACGCGCUACACUGAAUAGAUCAACGUGUUGUCCCUUUCCGAGAGGAACGGGUAAACCGCUGAACCCUAUUCGUGGUAGGGAUCGGGGCUUGCAAUUGUUCCCCGUAAACCAGGAAUUCCCAGUAGGCGCAAGUCAUAAGCUUGUGUCGAUUACGUCCCUGCCCUUUGUACACACCGCCCGUCGCUACUACCGAUUGAACGUUUUAGUGAGGUCCUCGGACUGUUUGGUAGGCGGA
This 1674-nucleotide ribosomal RNA is filed under the name Mospicalanus schielae. Its description in RNAcentral is "SSU rRNA". It matches the Rfam family "Eukaryotic small subunit ribosomal RNA". The record is from RNAcentral. Lineage: Eukaryota; Metazoa; Arthropoda; Copepoda; Calanoida; Spinocalanidae.